Molecule: ribosomal RNA, 312 nt
Filed under: uncultured bacterium
Lineage: Bacteria
Description: bacterial SSU rRNA
Rfam family: Bacterial small subunit ribosomal RNA
Source: RNAcentral
GACGAACGCUGGCGGCGUGCUUAACACAUGCAAGUGGAGCGACGAACCAGGGCUUGCCCUGGGGCAGAGCCGCGAACGGGUGAGUAACACGUGGGUAACGUGCCCCGAUGACUGGGACAACCCGAGGAAACUCGGGCUAAAUACCGGAUAUCGCCCCCUCACGAGAGGUGAGGUGUAGUAAAGGAGCUUCGGCCUCCGCAGUCGGGAGUCCGGCCCGCGGCGCAUUAGCUUGUUGGUGGGGUAACGGCCACCAAGGCGACGAUGCGUAGCUGGUCUGAGAGGACGAUCAGCCACACUGGGACUGAGACACGG